This is a long non-coding RNA of Octopus sinensis (East Asian common octopus), 303 nucleotides long. RefSeq lists it as uncharacterized. The record is from RefSeq and is a predicted model, not a curated record. The transcript is spliced from 2 exons. Lineage: Eukaryota; Metazoa; Mollusca; Cephalopoda; Octopoda; Octopodidae.
GUGAGAAACCUUACCACUGUGAUAUCUGUGGGAAAUCAUUCACUCUAAAGGUUGUCUUAACUAAACACAAACGUACUCAUACAGGUGAAAAGCCAUAUCACUGUGAUAUCUGCAGUAAAUCAUUCAUUCAAAAGGGACAAUUAAGUAGACACAAAUGUAUUCAUUCAGGGGUGAAGUCACAUCAUUGUGACACCUGUGGUGAAUCAUUCUCUGAAAUAGAUCACUUGACCACUCACAGACUCAUUCAUUAGGAGAGAAACCAUGUCAUUGUGAUAUCUGUGGUGAAUGGUUCUCUCAAAUAAA